UACGAAGGGGGCUAGCGUUGCUCGGAAUUACUGGGCGUAAAGCGUGCGCAGGCGGUUGUGCAAGACAGAUGUGAAAUCCCCGGGCUUAACCUGGGAAUUGCAUUUGUGACUGCACGGCUAGAGUGUGUCAGAGGGGGGUAGAAUUGCUGGUGUAGCGGUGAAAUGCGUAGAGAUCAGCAGGAAUACCCGUGGCGAAGGCGGCCCCCUGGGCCCUAAAAACCCUUUUCAUGGGAAACCAUGAGGAAACCUGACGGCUGAGGCGCGAAGGCUAGGGGAGCGAACGGG
This 285-nucleotide ribosomal RNA is filed under the name uncultured bacterium. RNAcentral describes it as "partial 16S ribosomal RNA". It matches the Rfam family "Bacterial small subunit ribosomal RNA", at positions 524 to 776 of the family's 1533-position model. The record is from RNAcentral.